Molecule: ribosomal RNA, 333 nt
Filed under: Triticum aestivum (bread wheat)
Lineage: Eukaryota; Viridiplantae; Streptophyta; Magnoliopsida; Poales; Poaceae
Description: partial small subunit ribosomal RNA
Source: RNAcentral
AAGGAUGAUCAUCUCAAGGACGUACAUCAGCUGUGGCAUAUAAAAUAUCUGAGCCUUGCCGCAAGCUUCCAAGGAAUAUUGACAAGUUACACUGACAAGUUGCACUGCUUAGAGACACUAGACCUAAGGAAGACAAAGAUAGAGAUAUUGCCAGUGGAGGUCAUUGGGAUGUCUCACCUAGCUAGCUCACUUGUUUGGAAAGUUAAUGCUUGGGAAGACUCGAAAGUGGGUGGACUAGAGAAGGUCUUACCAAAAAAAAGCAAGUUAAAGAUUCUUUAAGGGUUUGUUGCAGACAAAGCCCCAUGAUUUCUACAACUAAUGGCUCGAAAGAAC